This 465-nucleotide ribosomal RNA is filed under the name uncultured bacterium. Its description in RNAcentral is "partial 16S ribosomal RNA". It matches the Rfam family "Bacterial small subunit ribosomal RNA", at positions 338 to 795 of the family's 1533-position model. The record is from RNAcentral.
CCUACGGGGUGCUGCAGUAGGGAAUCUUCCACAAUUGACGAAAGUCUGAUGGAGCAACGCCGCGUGAGUGAAGAAGGGUUUCGGCUCGUAAAGCUCUGUUGGUAGUGAAGAAAGAUAGAGGUAGUAACUGGCCUUUAUUUGACGGUAAUUACUUAGAAAGUCAAGGCUAACUACGUGCCAGCAGCCGCGGUCAUACGGAGGUGGCAAGCGGUGUCCGGAUUUUGUGGGCGUAAAGCGAGUGCAGGCGGUUCAAUAAGUCUGAUGUGAAAGCCUUGGGCUCAACCGGAGAAUUGCAUCAGAAACGGUUGAACUUUAGUGCAGAAGAAGAGAGUUGAACUCCAUGUGUAGCGGUGGAAUGCGUAGAUAUAUGGAAGAACACCAGUGGCGAAGGCGGCUCUCUGGUCUGCAACUGACGCUGAGGCUCGAAAGCAUGGGUAGCGAACAGGAUUAGAUACCCCGGUAGUC